This 375-nucleotide ribosomal RNA is filed under the name uncultured bacterium. Its description in RNAcentral is "bacterial SSU rRNA". It matches the Rfam family "Bacterial small subunit ribosomal RNA", at positions 521 to 895 of the family's 1533-position model. The record is from RNAcentral.
UAAUACAGAGGGUGCAAGCGUUAAUCGGAAUUACUGGGCGUAAAGCGUGCGUAGACGGUUGCGUAAGUCAGAUGUGAAAGCCCCGGGCUCAACCUGGGAAUUGCAUUUGAGACUGCGUAGCUAGGGUGCGGAAGAGGGAAGCGGAAUUUCCGGUGUAGCGGUGAAAUGCGUAGAUAUCGGAAGGAACACCAGUGGCGAAAGCGGCUUCCUGGUCCAGCACCGACGUUCAGGCACGAAAGCGUGGGGAGCAAACAGGAUUAGAUACCCUGGUAGUCCACGCCAUAAACGAUGAGGACUAGACGUUGAGAGGGUAAGCCUCCCAGUGUCGCAGCUAACGCGAUAAGUCCUCCGCCUGGGGAGUACGGCCGCAAGGUU